RNAcentral lists this ribosomal RNA (403 nucleotides) under uncultured bacterium. Its description in RNAcentral is "partial 16S ribosomal RNA". It matches the Rfam family "Bacterial small subunit ribosomal RNA", at positions 28 to 526 of the family's 1533-position model. The record is from RNAcentral.
GACGAACGCUGGCGGCGUGCCUAAUACAUGCAAGUCGAACGCAGUGGGGACGGUUUAGUAACACGUGGGUAACCUCCCAUCAGAGGGGAUAACACUUGGCAACAGGUGCUAAACUGAUAUUGAUGGAUGGACCCGCGGUGCAUUAGCUAGUUGGUGGGGUAACGGCUCACCAAGGCCACGAUGCAUAGCCGAACUGAGAGGGUGAUCGGCCACACUGGGACUGAGACACGGCCCAGACUCCUACGGGAGGCAGCAGGAGGGAAUCUGCGGCAAUGGGCGAAAGUCUGACGGAGCAACGCCGCGUGAGUGAAGAAGGUUUUCGGAUCGUAAAACUCUGUUGUUAGAGAAGCGGUAUCUAACCAGAAAGCAACGGCUAACUACGUGCCAGCAGCCGCGGUAAUAC